This 876-nucleotide ribosomal RNA is filed under the name Exserohilum rostratum. RNAcentral describes it as "partial 28S ribosomal RNA". It matches the Rfam family "Eukaryotic large subunit ribosomal RNA", at positions 66 to 964 of the family's 3401-position model. The record is from RNAcentral. Lineage: Eukaryota; Fungi; Ascomycota; Dothideomycetes; Pleosporales; Pleosporaceae.
CAACAGGGAUGCCCUAGUAACGGCGUAGUGAAGCGGCAACAGCUCAAAUUUGAAAUCUGGCUCUUUCAGAGUCCGAGUUGUAAUUUGCAGAGGGCGCUUUGGCUUUGGCAGCGGUCCAAGUUCCUUGGAACAGGACGUCACAGAGGGUGAGAAUCCCGUGGUCGCUAGCUAUUGCCGUGUAAAGCCCCUUCGACGAGUCGAGUUGUUUGGGAAUGCAGCUCUAAAUGGGAGGUAAAUUUCUUCUAAAGCUAAAUAUUGGCCAGAGACCGAUAGCGCACAAGUAGAGUGAUCGAAAGAUGAAAAGCACUUUGGAAAGAGAGUCAAACAGCACGUGAAAUUGUUGAAAGGGAAGCGCUUGCAGCCAGACUUGCUUGCAGUUGCUCAUCCGGGCUUUUGCCCGGUGCACUCUUCUGCAGGCAGGCCAGCAUCAGUUUGGGCGGUGGGAUAAAGGUCUCUGUCAUGUACCUCUCUUCGGGGAGGCCUUAUAGGGGAGGCGACAUACCACCAGCCUAGACUGAGGUCCGCGCAUCUGCUAGGAUGCUGGCGUAAUGGCUGUAAGCGGCCCGUCUUGAAACACGGACCAAGGAGUCUAACAUCUAUGCGAGUGUUUGGGUGUCAAGCCCGAGCGCGUAAUGAAAGUGAACGGAGGUGGGAACCCGCAAGGGUGCACCAUCGACCGAUCCUGAAGUUUACGGAAGGAUUUGAGUAAGAGCAUGGCUGUUGGGACCCGAAAGAUGGUGAACUAUGCUUGAAUAGGGUGAAGCCAGAGGAAACUCUGGUGGAGGCUCGCAGCGGUUCUGACGUGCAAAUCGAUCGUCAAAUUUGGGCAUAGGGGCGAAAGACUAAUCGAACUAUCUAGUAGCUGGAUCUGCGAGU